Molecule: long non-coding RNA, 535 nt
Filed under: Coccomyxa subellipsoidea
Lineage: Eukaryota; Viridiplantae; Chlorophyta; Trebouxiophyceae; Coccomyxaceae
Description: long non-coding RNA (CSUB_LNC000110)
Source: RNAcentral
UGUUCCUUGCGCGCCUCCGGGUGCAUGGCAGCCCUCUUCCUCUCAGCCUUGCGCCGCUCAAUCUCCUUGGGGUCCCCCCACACCUCCCAGUCAUCGAUCGGCUCAUCCGCCUGGGGACCAAAACAAAACAUGAAAAUCAGCGUCACACUGGCGUAGGAGCUCCUUUCUUUUGGCGACUCUUGGGCCCUGCUGGGGAGAAUCCAGCCACUCCCUUACACUUAUUGAGUGUUCACAGGGGAAGAUCAACCAUGCCCUUGGCAUCCUUGACCUCCGUCUCCUUACUCAUGCCCCAGGCUUCAUCAGGGCGUCUGUAUCUACUUAAAAUCAUUUCGAUUUCAUUUUGUGGUGCUCUGCAAAUGGAAAGCCUCCUGCAGUACAUGUGCUCCCUUCACAUGAGGAAUACAUGACUUGAAUGGCGCACUUGUCCUCCAUCGCUGUCCGAGUCACUCUCCACCUCGGCGUACUGCAGGAUCCAGUCACGGGCCUUCUGCUUCUCGCGUGCCAAAGCGGCAGCGUCCGCUUUUGGUCCUGCUUU